CAGAGGUUAAACUCUAUUUAUCAACUUAAAGCCUUCAGCUGUUCUCCAAUUUAGAAAGAGGUGUUUGUAUGAGAGGGCAAAGUCUGAAGUUAUUGUUGGGUUGUUUUAGGCAAGCUUUCACAUUGAUUCUGGUGCAACAUAAGGUUAAGGCAGUGAAUUUUCUGAGACCUGAUACUGAGACACGGAAAGCUGUCUCUCCUGUUUCCCUCAUCUACACAAGCUGUGACUUAAAGAGCAGAAAAAGCAGUGAGCCUGGAGAAGAGCUCUGUGGUUACCUUUGCUUGUAACAACCCUUUUGAUGACUAGAAAAAAGUAGAAAAGGCACUUCAACCUCUGUCCUUAGAGGUUGUCAAGAUUAACAGCUUUUCCAACAAGGAUGCACCGUCUCCCCUCUUCUAUCCACAUAAAUCCCUGUCCUUAGAAGCUCAGUAGACCAUGUUAUAUUUUAUUUGACUGCCUCCAUGUGUAAGGGAGGUACUCUGGAAGUGUUUUCUAUAAGGAGAAGGGAAAAAACAACAACAACAACAAAAAACAACCAAACGAAGCCAAAAAGAACCCACCCACAAAUCCAAAAACCGGACCUGACCAUGUCUCAUAAACAAGACUGGUGACACAAUGAUACAGAACAGAGCCUGGAUGGAGAUUGAAAGAGGCAGCUUUUCUCUAAAGGAUUUCUUCAGAAAGAAGAGGUGGUGAAUACUGUAUGAAGCAGCUGAAGAAGCUGACUGUUGCGGUUCAGUGUCCACGGAUGCUCUUUAUGAGGUUAUACUCGGAGUUUAAUUUGGACUGCACCGUAGUAAGAUCCAGUUCACUUUGAAAAUACAAAUGCUCCUGUGCCGUAUAUCUUGAAGGGCUCUUCUCUGUUCUCCACUGAUGUCUGAUCUGAAUGACGAACCCACAUUUCUAAAGGAAAAUCCAUCAAGUUGAAUUUACCACAGCAACAAUGCCAAAGUGUGCCUGAUAUGAGUGACCUUAUUUAGUGAAGCUGGAUGGUAAUUUUUUUAAUCAGAACAGCUGUUUUGCUGAAAAGGGCUGUUUUAAUGACAACUCGUCCCCUAUAAAUAGGAUUGCUCUCGGGGAUUUUUUUUUUAAAUUUGGUUUAAAUGCUCAAGUUAAGUUUUAUCAUUUUGGCAUUUUUCCCAAGAUGAAUGGCAAAGACAUUUCAGAAUGGUAACAGUUUCUGUAAAAAUGGAAACUACAUUUAACUUAUUAUCAAGGCCACUUGCUAUGAAAGUAUUUAAUUAAAGCAUUCCUAUUUAAAUACCUAUUUGAAAGAAACACAUUUUAUAUUAAAUUUCCAUUAACUUUGAAGAUUUUACUAAAGAAUCUUAAAGAAAUCAUCAAAGUUUGCUGUUGUGUCCAAUUAAUCACAGUUCCAUAUAAUCAUUUCUUACAACUAUACUUAACAUUUCCUAUUGCCAUAAAACCAGAAACAGCCAUAAUCAGUGUAAUCCAAGUAUUUUCAGUCUCAUAUUCUGUUUUUGGCAGUGAUCUGUAGCAGGCUUUCAAAGAAAGAGUAGAAGAAGAGAAUCACUAAAUGGCGACUUUUCUCCCCAAUUAUCUUUACAGAUUGUGGCAGUUGUGGCUUAGGGAGUUUUGUAAGUUGGAUGUAAUGUUCAAGUAAUCAUAUAUAAUAUCUUUCUUCCAUUAACUUGUCUAUUUUUUCUUCAAAAUUGUCAGAACAGUUGGUACUCACAAGAUCCUGUGGCAAGGAGAUUUAAGAAAUAAUUUUGUUUUUGGUGAAAAAGGAGCUUCCUUUUGCUUGUUUCAGACUGGUUUCUGCCAUUUUAAUUUUUUACAUGCCUUUAUCUUAUAUUUUGGGAAAUAGUGGUAAAACUGCAUUUUAUAGGCUUUUUUUCAUAUAUUUGAUCGUUCGGGUUACUCCCUUCCAUCGCUUUUCCUGGUUCUGCUCUGUCAAUUUUGGGGUUGUCUACGGAGAUGGCACGCGUAGAUUUAUAUAGUCAACAAAGGUUGUUUCUGUUUUUUAUUUUUAAAUUAACUAUUGCUUUCCUAAUAGGUUCUAGCAUUGUAUUUACAUUUUUUUACCAUCAUUUAAAGUAAGAGGAUCUUUCUAGAGAGCUUCUCACAGUUACUUUAAAAUCUUUUCUAAAUAGUCAUAGUUAAUCCAGAGAUAACUGAGGUCUUACGUAUUUCUUCUUCAUGACUUUCAUUUCUUCACAUUUUAACUGCCAUUCUCUCACCCGCUUACUUUACGUACAAGAUACCUCAGAACCACUUUUAGUUUUGAGUAGCAGGAAUAGCUUUGUAUAUUCGGUGAAAUUCCUCACCUGAGGAGUUGCAUUGGUUUCCCUGUCAUGUGCCAAUGCAGUGAGCAGAUCCCAUGGGACAAUUUCUUCCUUCCUACCCUCUGUUUGCUGCCUCUGAUCCUGUUGGUGGGUGCAGGAAUACCAUCUUGUUUCAUCCCAGUACACCCGCAGCUCUUAACAAGGUUUAGAUAAAGAAUAUGACCCAAAGCUUCUGUGAAGUAGGAGCUACAAUAUUUCACCCAGGUCAUUCCUGUUCACAAACUUACCAAAUCCUUCAAAGUAUGUUUGUGAGUCAAGAUUUUUUUUCUUCUAACGAUAGCCAUUUUAGCAGUUUUUUAUUGUAUUAAAUUUAUUUAAUUGUCUGCUAAUUCUGUUCUGUUUCAGCCAACCAGUCAGAUUUAAUGGACCUAGCUCCUUCAUCCUGUGAAGCCUUUUAAAAACUGCUUUUUUUCAUUUUUUCUGUCUUUAAUACUGAGCUGAAUGCUCAGUGAUAGGGUACAUGUCACAGUAAGUACUUUGGCUAUUUCAUAUCCAAUACUAUCUUGAUGCUGGUGACUUGUUACUACUAAUUUUAUUCAUUUAUUCUGAAACUUCUACUGACAUUUCAGUUUGACACGAUUCCUCAGACAUAUUUCCUGUGUAGAAAAGAAAAAAAGGAGUUGAAAAAUUCACUGAUAGCUGAACAUCCUUAAUCUCUUCCAUCAAGAAAGCUGAUGUAAAGAAUGCAGUUAGGGUUGGAUUUUUCUUUUUCUUUUCUUUUUUUGAUUUUUUGCAACGGUUUUAUCUUCCUUCAAUCUUUCUUUAAUAGCUCAAUUUCUUAUCAGUCCUGCAGACUCUUUGGUAGGAUUCUUUUUUGGAUUGUGGAUUGAAAAAGUUUUUGCUAUUUACUUUUUUUUGUCUAUAACAUGUUGACGGUUAGAAAUCCUUUUUUUUUUUGUCCUACUUUCUUAUAUCUUCUUAUCUAAAGUGUCAGGGUUUCAACUUGGCUCUUUUACUGUUUUGGAUCUGAUUUCUCCUUUUAAAGAAGAAUGUCCUCUGUCUCUUAUUGGACAUUUUUAUUGUUGUCAUUUGUUUAUUGUUUUUGAUUCUGGUUUUAUAUCAAACUUUCUUUGAUCAUUUUGAAAGGAUAGGUGGCAAGCAUUUCCUCUGAAUAUCUCAUUUAGCUUUCUAAAUAGUCCCCAUGCAACCCAUAAAUGUCUUCCCUUUUUAUCUUCAAUCUCUUAGUUCCCUAUUAAUCAUUUUUAGGUGUCUCUUCUAUUAGAGUUAAGCAUUACUAUAGAUCUAAUCAUCCUUAUCACAUCACUGUCACUGUCUCAGUUAUGAUCAAGAGUAGUACUGUUCCUCAUAUGUGUGCAUGGAAUUUCAGCUCAUAUGAAUCCUUUACAGUAAAUAUUUUCACCGUAAGUAUUUUCUCAGCUAGGUGUUUAACUUCUGCUCUCUCUGGUCUCAUGUUAAGAACAAGAUGCUUUUCUGGGCUGGACAUGUGCUGUCUGUCUGUAGCUUUAGUUUUGCCUGUUUGAAUUCCCUCCUUGCCCUUUCAGUCUUGCUGAUGCCCAGGCUGGCCAUCACUGCAAGCUUUUCCUCCAAUACUCAGCUGAUGUACCAUGGCCAACUGUAAAGUUUAUUUAUUACUUGUGUGUUUGUGUGUAUAAAAAAAUGUGUAGUGUGCAUACACCAUUAACCUGAUAUAAACCAGUAAGGGAAUGUUUGUUUGAAGUGUUGCUGAGGAGGGAGAGCCAAAGGUAUACUGACAUCUAGCAUGGAGAAAUUUCGGAGGUGUUAGGAACAGUGUUUUCUUUAGAAUUCUCUUUAAAAGCAUACAAAGCUAGGGCUUUUAUCUAAGAAAAGGAAGGAAAGCUCCUCUUUUCCUGAGCAACUCUACUUGUAAAUGAAAAGAGCUUACCCUAAUCCCUGCAGCAAGUGGUGAUGAAAACCAAGAAAUCCAACAAGAAUAGGCCUCUUUCUGCAGCAGCACAAGAAUCCUUGGGCCAGUUAAUUGUUCCUUUUUUCAGUGGCUUAAAUUACAAGAUCUCUUGCAUAUUCUCGACCUGUAGUAAAAGAACAUGACUAGUCAUCUUCGGUAUUACAAUUCCUUAUGGGAUGCCCCAUCAUCCGACAGCAAAGAGUCAUUGUAGGAAGCUAAUAGUGCCUGAAGGUAUAAUAACCUCUGAGGGGAAAAAACAGCUUGAAGAUGAUGAUCAUUAAAAGCCAAAGCAUUUUCUUUGACAUACUACACCAGAUAAGACUGGAUUAUGGUUGUUAUUGAAUUACUAUUGUAGAGGAAGUAGCUAUGAAUUGAUGUUGUUAAUUUUUUUAGGAAAUGUUUUAAAUUGAAUGUAUUUUCCUUUGAUAAAAAUAUAUAUAUUUCUCAUUUUCUAGGUAGCAUAAGCCACUUUAGAAAUUGGGGGGAGUAGCAGAAUUUUGUUUUCUUUUGUGAUGUCUAUAAUAAAUCAUAGUAUGGCAUGCA
Anser brachyrhynchus (Pink-footed goose) is the source of this 4734-nucleotide long non-coding RNA. Lineage: Eukaryota; Metazoa; Chordata; Aves; Anseriformes; Anatidae. The record is from Ensembl.